This 826-nucleotide long non-coding RNA is filed under the name Carica papaya (papaya). RNAcentral describes it as "long non-coding RNA (CPAP_LNC016302)". Lineage: Eukaryota; Viridiplantae; Streptophyta; Magnoliopsida; Brassicales; Caricaceae. The record is from RNAcentral.
UAGUGAGAUCAUUAUUAGAAUUAAUAUCUCAUCUAAAGAGAAAGAUAAAUUCACAAUGAAUAGAAUUAUGUCAAUUUUUCUCAGAAAUAAAAUCUCAAGUCUUACAUGGUAGAAUUAGUAAUUUAUCCCCAAGAAAUUUAUUAUAUAAGUUGAAUAUAUUUAAACAUGAAAAUGAUUAAAUAAAGACAAACUAAAUGUUACGUGGUCUUAACCACUUUGAUUGAACUUUUGAAUAGAGGAAUACCAAACAGUCUUUGGGUGACUACCAACUAGGGUGGUGAUGGAUGUUUGAAAAUCUUUGCAUGUGCCUCUAGAUAUUUGGUCUCCAUUUCAUAUAUUUAUUGUAUUCAACUAUGCAUAUUCUCGUACAUACAUGUAUAAGCAAAAAAAAAAUAGGUUGUUUACCUCAUACCAAGUGAUCUAUGGGUGCAGCAUUGUGAAGCAAGCAGAAAGAAUAAAAAAGCAACAGAUGGCCGCUCCUCGCUCCUGAAUGUCGUUGAAGGAUACUUUUUUACUUGGUCUGUAUGGACUGAUCACAUUUCUUUCAUUUUUGUUCUGAACUUAUUCUUGCCUUCAUGGACAUAGAUACUUGUUUGGUCAUUAAGCGUGUUAGGAAGCAUUAAGGGGAUGAAUAUAUUGUUAUAUUCAAUCUGUAUUAUAAUUUGUAUGUAUCAUUAAUAUUAUAAAUUUUUUACUAUUGAGAUUAUAUAUAGUGAAGAGUAUCAAUUGGGUUUUAAUCAAUUUGGUAAAAAAAUUUGAAACUGGACUCAACUAAUCAAACUGUUUUGAUUGACCCAACUGAUCAAUUAAUGUUGUGAAAAAACUG